This 254-nucleotide ribosomal RNA is filed under the name uncultured bacterium. Its description in RNAcentral is "partial 16S ribosomal RNA". It matches the Rfam family "Bacterial small subunit ribosomal RNA", at positions 524 to 776 of the family's 1533-position model. The record is from RNAcentral.
UACGUAGGGUCCAAGCGUUAUCCGGAAUCACUGGGCGUAAAGCGUGCGUAGGCGGGUGUUUAAGUGCAAUGCGAAAUCCUGUGGCUCAACCAUAUGGACUGUAUUGCAUACUGGAUACCUGGAGGAAUGCAGAGGCAAGUGGAAUUACUGGUGUAGCAGUGAAAUGCGUAGAUAUCUGGAGGAACACCGGUGGCGAAGGCGGCAUCCUGGACCGGCAUUGACGCUGAGGCGCGAAAGCCAGGGGAGCAAACGGG